CUGGGUCUAAUACCACAUACGACCAUGGCGUAGGGUCAUGGUGGAAAGCUUUUGCGGUGUGGGAUGAGCCCGCGGCCUAUCAGCUUGUUGGUGGGGUAAUGGCCUACCAAGGCGGCGACGGGUAGCCGGCCUGAGAGGGUGGACGGCCACAUUGGGGCUGAGACACGGCCCAGACUCCUACGGGAGGCAGCAGUGGGGAAUAUUGCACAAUGGGCGCAAGCCUGAUGCAGCGACGCCGCGUGGGGGAUGACGGCCUUCGGGUUGUAAACUCCUUUCGCCCGGGACGAAGCCCACCUGGUGGGUGACGGUACCGUGGAGAAGAAGCACCGGCUAACUACGUGCCAGCAGCCGCGGUAAUACGUAGGGUGCAAGCGUUGUCCGGAUUUACUGGGCGUAAAGAGCUCGUAGGUGGUGUGUCGCGUCGUCUGUGAAAUUCCGGGGCUUAACUCCGGGCGUGCAGGCGAUACGGGCACGACUAGAGUGCUGUAGGGGUAACUGGAAUUCCUGGUGUAGCGGUGAAAUGCGCAGAUAUCAGGAGGAACACCGAUGGCGAAGGCAGGUUACUGGGCAGUUACUGACGCUGAGGAGCGAAAGCAUGGGGAGCGAACAGGAUUAGAUACCCUGGUAGUCCAUGCUGUAAACGGUGGGCGCUAGGUGUGGGCUGUGUGUUUGCAGUCUGUGCCGUAGCUAACGUAUUAAGCGCCCCGCCUGGGGAGUACGGCCGCAAGGCUAAAACUCAAAGGAAUUGACGG
This 752-nucleotide ribosomal RNA is filed under the name uncultured bacterium. RNAcentral's name for it is "bacterial SSU rRNA". It matches the Rfam family "Bacterial small subunit ribosomal RNA", at positions 157 to 916 of the family's 1533-position model. The record is from RNAcentral.